This 684-nucleotide ribosomal RNA is filed under the name uncultured bacterium. RNAcentral's name for it is "bacterial SSU rRNA". It matches the Rfam family "Bacterial small subunit ribosomal RNA", at positions 813 to 1498 of the family's 1533-position model. The record is from RNAcentral.
AUACUAGGUGUUGGGGGGCAAGCUCUUCGGUGCCGGCGCUAACGCAUAAGUAUCCACCUGGGGGAGUACGUCGCAAGAAUAAAACUCAAAGGAAUUGACGGGGACCCGCACAAAGCGGUGGAGCAUGUGGUUUAAUUCGAAGCAACGCGAAGAACCUUUACCAGGUCUUGACAUCGAUCUGAAUGUGAUGCAAAAGUCGCAGCCCUUCGGGGCAGAGAAGACAGGUGGUGCAUGGUUGUCGUCAGCUCGUGUCGUGAGAUGUUGGGUUAAGUCCCGCAACGAGCGCAACCCUUGUCCUAAGUAGCCAGCGGUUCGGCCGGGCACUCUUGGGAGACCGCCGGGGAUAACCCGGAGGAAGGUGGGGAUGACGUCAAAUCAUCAUGCCCCUUAUGAUCUGGGCUACACACGUGCUACAAUGGCGUAAACAAAGGGAGGCGAAGGAGCGAUCCGGAGCAAAUCCCAAAAAUAACGUCUCAGUUCGGACUGCAGGCUGCAACUCGCCUGCACGAAGCUGGAAUCGCUAGUAAUCGCGGAUCAGCAUGCCGCGGUGAAUACGUUCCCGGGUCUUGUACACACCGCCCGUCACACCAUGGGAGUCGGUAAUGCCCGAAGCCAGUGGCUCAACCUUUUGGAGGGAGCUGUCGAAGGCAGGACUGAUAACUGGGGUGAAGUCGUAACAAGGUA